GGGGGAUAUUGCGCAAUGGGGGCAACCCUGACGCAGCAACGCCGCGUGAAGGAUGAAGGUUUUCGGAUUGUAAACUUCUUUUAUUAAGGACGAAAAAUGACGGUACUUAAUGAAUAAGCUCCGGCUAACUACGUGCCAGCAGCCGCGGUAAUACGUAGGGAGCAAGCGUUGUCCGGAUUUACUGGGUGUAAAGGGUGCGUAGGCGGCUUUGCAAGUCAGAUGUGAAAUCUAUGGGCUCAACCCAUAAACUGCAUUUGAAACUGUAGAGCUUGAGUGAAGUAGAGGCAGGCGGAAUUCCCCGUGUAGCGGUGAAAUGCGUAGAGAUGGGGAGGAACACCAGUGGCGAAGGCGGCCUGCUGGGCUUUAACUGACGCUGAGGCACGAAAGCGUGGGUAGCAAACAGGAUUAGAUACCCUGGUAGUCCACGCUGUAAACGAUGAUUACUAGGUGUGGGGGGUCUGACCCCUUCCGUGCCGGAGUUAACACAAUAAGUAAUCCACCUGGGGAGUACGGCCGCAAGGUUGAAACUCAAAGGAAUUGACGGGGGCCCGCACAAGCAGUGGAGUAUGUGGUUUAAUUCGAAGCAACGCGAAGAACCUUACCAGGUCUUGACAUCCAACUAACGAAGUAGAGAUACAUUAGGUGCCCUUCGGGGAAAGUUGAGACAGGUGGUGCAUGGUUGUCGUCAGCUCGUGUCGUGAGAUGUUGGGUUAAGUCCCGCAACGAGCGCAACCCUUGCUAUUAGUUGCUACGCAAGAGCACUCUAAUAGGACUGCCGUUGGCAAAACGGAGGAAGGUGGGGACGACGUCAAAUCAUCAUGCCCCUUAUGACCUGGGCUACACACGUACUACAAUGGAUGUUAACAGAGGGAAGCAAGACAGCGAUGUGGAGCAAACCCCUAAAAACAUUCUCAGUUCAGAUUGCAGGCUGCAACCCGCCUGCAUGAAGAUGGAAUUGCUAGUAAUCGCGGAUCAGCAUGCCGCGGUGAAUACGUUCCCG
Molecule: ribosomal RNA, 1000 nt
Filed under: uncultured organism
Description: bacterial SSU rRNA
Rfam family: Bacterial small subunit ribosomal RNA
Source: RNAcentral